AUUUCUUUAGUAUAACAAAUACCACUGACUUCCAAUCAGCCAAUUCUAGUCCAAACCUAGAAAGAAAUA
Molecule: transfer RNA, 69 nt
Filed under: Thryonomys swinderianus (greater cane rat)
Lineage: Eukaryota; Metazoa; Chordata; Mammalia; Rodentia; Thryonomyidae
Description: transfer RNA-Gly
Source: RNAcentral